Molecule: long non-coding RNA, 383 nt
Filed under: Setaria italica (foxtail millet)
Lineage: Eukaryota; Viridiplantae; Streptophyta; Magnoliopsida; Poales; Poaceae
Description: long non-coding RNA (SITA_LNC007118)
Source: RNAcentral
GUGGCACACCGGCGAGUCCAUGAAUGAUUUACCCGUCUCCAAUUCACGAUCGAUAUGGAUGCUCUCAUCCCGCUUUUCCCGACUGUACCACUAAUGAUAUUGUUCCUCAAUUGGUUUAGUUAGCACAAUCAAAGCAGUACUGAUAGCGAUUCGAGAGUUGAUCGCCAUGAUGGCACUCAUUGUAGUGGGUGACAUCUUUUCCUUUUUCCUUUGAUCGCCUUUCUAUCCCAACAAAACUUGUGGUUUGUGCAAUGCUUUUUCUCCCCCUCUAGAUUAUAUGCUAGACACGGAUUGAUCUGUUGCCACUUAGCAAACAAAACCAGCUAGUGCUUUGAAUUAAGUAGUAUACCCAUCACUCGAUGGCCCAUCGAUUCGAGACCUGA